GAUGAACGCUGGCGGCGUGCCUAAUACAUGCAAGUCGAGCGAACAGACGAGGAGCUUGCUCCUCUGACGUUAGCGGCGGACGGGUGAGUAACACGUGGAUAACCUACCUAUAAGACUGGGAUAACUUCGGGAAACCGGAGCUAAUACCGGAUAAUAUAUUGAACCGCAUGGUUCAAUAGUGAAAGACGGUUUUGCUGUCACUUAUAGAUGGAUCCGCGCCGCAUUAGCUAGUUGGUAAGGUAACGGCUUACCAAGGCAACGAUGCGUAGCCGACCUGAGAGGGUGAUCGGCCACACUGGAACUGAGACACGGUCCAGACUCCUACGGGAGGCAGCAGUAGGGAAUCUUCCGCAAUGGGCGAAAGCCUGACGGAGCAAAGACGCGUGAGUGAUGAAGGUCUUCGGAUCGUAAAACUCUGUUAUUAGGGAAGAACAAAUGUGUAAGUAACUAUGCACGUCUUGACGGUACCUAAUCAGAAAGCCACGGCUAACUACGUG
This 497-nucleotide ribosomal RNA is filed under the name uncultured bacterium. RNAcentral's name for it is "partial 16S ribosomal RNA". It matches the Rfam family "Bacterial small subunit ribosomal RNA", at positions 28 to 507 of the family's 1533-position model. The record is from RNAcentral.